This is an RNA transcript of Passer montanus (Eurasian tree sparrow), 2593 nucleotides long. It is a transcript of the gene named aprataxin, with no coding region annotated. The record is from RefSeq and is a predicted model, not a curated record. The transcript has 9 exons. Lineage: Eukaryota; Metazoa; Chordata; Aves; Passeriformes; Passeridae.
CGCGCGCCGGGCCCGGGAGAGUGACCCACCAAUGGCUGUGCGGGAGGGGAAGGCACUUGGCCAAUCAGCGCCCGCCUUCGCCGCCCGCACUGAGCGCGGACCCCGCCCCGCCCGGCGCGGGCGGUGGCGUCCCCGCCCAGCCUUUGCUUCCCCUUGCGCCUGCGCGCUGGGCCGCCCCCGCCCUCGGAGGCACCGAGCUGCGCCGGGCACCGGACGUCGGCCCGGCCGCCGCCUUCCCGGCACUUUCCGUGCCUUUCCCCCCCUCUCCCUACGCGGGCCUGGCUCCGCGCCGCACAGGCCGGCCGGCGGCCCCGUCCGCUCCACUCUACCGCGCUUUUGCGAGGACCCAGUGCCCACUCCCGGGUGCGCGGGCCCAGUGCGCCUGCGCCGCGCGCCGAGGCGGGUGCCUCUGCCUGGUCACGCGGGGGACGCGCCGCAGCAGCUGAUUGGCUGCGGCGGCGGCGCGAAGGUCGCGCGCGCGCGCUCAGUGAUGCGUGUGUGCUGGCUCGUGGGCAAAGAGGAAUGCACUCAGCGAGUGAAACUGCCGCACUUGGAGGCUGUGGUGAUUGGGCGUGGCCCAGAGACUGGGAUAACGGAUAAGAAGUGCUCGCGGCAGCAAGUUCAGUUAAAAGCAGACUGUAACAAGGGGUAUGUCACAGUUAAACAGAUAGGGGUCAACCCAACUAGUGUUGAUCUUGUGAAUAUUGGCAAGGAUGAAGUGGUGAAAAUGAAGCCAGGCCAAGUUCUGCAUAUUGUAAAUAACCUUUACCCCUACAUGGUGCAAUUUGCCGAAGAGUCUGGGAAAACUGUUCCAAAAGCAGAUAAGAUUCCACAUGAAGAGAAUGAUGAUAUAGAGCUUGUGCCCAGAAAAACCAUGAAGCUGGAGGUGGUGGAUACACAAGGCAGUUCUACAAAUCCAAAGCUAAGCAAUACCAGUGUAUCUGCACAGGAAGGAACUUCGAGCAAAAAGGAACAUUUAGGACACUGGAGUCAGGGUCUGAAGAGCUCCAUGCAAGAUCCAAAAAUGCAGGUUUACAAAGAUGAAAAGACUGUAGUCAUCAAGGAUAAAUAUCCCAAAGCACGUUACCACUGGCUUAUCUUACCAUGGGACCCUAUUUCAAGUCUGAAAUCAGUCACCAGGGACCACCUUGAACUCCUGGAACAUAUGCAUGCUGUUGGGCAAAAAAUGAUCGAACAGUGCCCUGCCAGAGAGAGCCUGGAGUUCCGACUGGGUUACCAUGCUAUCCCCAGUAUGAGUCAGCUACAUUUGCAUGUAAUCAGCCAGGAUUUUGAUUCUCCAGCCCUGAAAACCAAAAAGCACUGGAAUUCUUUUACUACGGACUACUUCUUAAACUCUCAAGAUGUGAUAGAGAUGGUAAGAAGCAAGGGAAAAGUGAUGGUGAAAGACCAUACCUCUGAACUUCUCAAACUUCCCCUCAGAUGCCAUCGCUGUAAACAACAGCUGUCCACAAUCCCACAGUUAAAGGAACAUCUUCGGAAACACUGGCCAAAAUGAUUUUGCAAAAAAUCAUCUUUCAGUCUGUCUUCAAAUGUCAAGACAACACAAGACCACAAAAUGUUAAUGGAAACAGCAGCAUACUAAUUUAGUAAUAGCAUCAACAAAAACUCAAGCCCUUUUCUUCCUUCCUACUAAAAAUAUAAAUAAAGUGACUUCUGAAAUUGGACCUUUUUGGUUGCAGCUUUAUUGUGGUACUGCCACACUAAUCUGUAAGUGAACUGAAGUCUGGGAGAAGUGCUUUGUUGGGAUGAAAUUAUUUAUUUUAAUUCAGAAGCUGAACUGAGCCCAGAUCUGGGUUUCUACUGUGAAAGGAAACAAUGAUUUAGAGAUCUUUCUCUUGAUGUUUUCUGCCUACCACUGAAGUUCCUCCUGCGUGAUGUUGCAGGCACUGGUGUGACUGACAGAACGUACUGUCAGUGGAGAGGAAAGAGCAGCAGCUGAUCACUCCCACUUUGCUGUGCCACUGACAGGCCUGACAGUUCAGUGCUGCUGAACUGCCGCUCAGCUAGGGGACAGCCACUGCUCAGGCUCUAAGUGGAGCAAAAAUCUCUUUUGGGUACAAGGAUGUAUUUAAACAUUUUUUAUGUAAUACAUUUGUAAUACACAGUGACCAGCUUUACUGCUUCCCAGAGUAAUAAAACUCUCAAGGUGUGCAGCUGCCUGUCUGCAUAUGCUGAGGAUGGUGCAGAAGUUCUGUGGUUUAAUCCCACACUGUUUCUCCAAUCAGGAUUUUAGUGAGCCUCUAAUAAUUUGAUUGUUGUCAAGAUGUGAACUUCCAGAAGCAGCAGGACAAUACUAAUAAAAAUCUCUUGAGUCCAGAUCUGGUUUGUACAGUUCAGCUUCAUCCUAAGCCCAGCUUUGAGUUAAGAUGCUCUCUGGGUGAAAUGGCUUUCAGUAAAAGAGUGCACAGAGCUUCUGUUAUACAAGCAAAAUGCUGCUCCCAACAGUAACAUUCUCUAGGAAGAGGGUGUUCUCUUCUUACAUUCCCCGAUGCAGCAGCAUGUUGCUGUACCCACUCAAAUGGGGCAAAUAAUAAUAUGAUGUUGCUGGAAAAUAAUAAAGAUGUUUCUGUCA